This is a microRNA precursor of Cercocebus atys (sooty mangabey), 96 nucleotides long. The record is from Ensembl. Lineage: Eukaryota; Metazoa; Chordata; Mammalia; Primates; Cercopithecidae.
GUAAGGAGGGGGAUGAGGGGUCAUGUCUCUUCUCAGGGAAAGCAGGAGCCCUUCUGGAUCAGGGUCAGGGCCCCUCACCUUCCCCUCCUUUCCCAG